This 165-nucleotide ribosomal RNA is filed under the name uncultured bacterium. RNAcentral's name for it is "partial 16S rRNA". It matches the Rfam family "Bacterial small subunit ribosomal RNA", at positions 355 to 511 of the family's 1533-position model. The record is from RNAcentral.
UAGGGAAUCUUCGGCAAUGGACGAAAGUCUGACCGAGCAACGCCGCGUGAGUGAAGAAGGUUUUCGGAUCGUAAAACUCUGUUGGUAGAGAAGAACGUUGGUGAGAGUGGAAAGCUCAUCAAGUGACGGUAACUACCCAGAAAGGGACGGCUAACUACUUGCUAG